AGUGAACGCUGGCGGUAGGCCUAACACAUGCAAGUCGAACGGCAGCACAGUAAGAGCUUGCUCUUACGGGUGGCGAGUGGCGGACGGGUGAGGAAUACAUCGGAAUCUACUUUUUCGUGGGGGAUAACGUAGGGAAACUUACGCUAAUACCGCAUACGACCUACGGGUGAAAGCAGGAGAUCUUCGGACCUUGCGCGAUUGAUUGAGCCGAUGUCGGAUUAGCUAGUUGGCGGGGUAAAGGCUCACCAAGGCGACGAUCCGUAGCUGGUCUGAGAGGAUGGUCAGCCACACUGGAACGGGGACAGGGCCCAGACUCCUACGGGAGGCAGCAGUGGGGAAUAUUGGACAAGGGGGGCAAGCCUGAGCCAGCCAUACCGGGUGGGUGAAGAAGGCCUUCGGGUUGUAAAGCCCUUUUGUUGGGAAAGAAAAGCAGCAGGUUAAUACCCCGCGGUUCUGACGGUACCCAAAGGAUAAGCACCGGCUAACUUGGU
Molecule: ribosomal RNA, 491 nt
Filed under: uncultured bacterium
Lineage: Bacteria
Description: partial 16S ribosomal RNA
Rfam family: Bacterial small subunit ribosomal RNA
Source: RNAcentral